Long non-coding RNA from Hermetia illucens (black soldier fly), 325 nucleotides. RefSeq lists it as uncharacterized. The transcript is spliced from 2 exons. The record is from RefSeq and is a predicted model, not a curated record. Lineage: Eukaryota; Metazoa; Arthropoda; Insecta; Diptera; Stratiomyidae.
CAGGGGGUUAUAAAAGCGACAAUCUCGCCUAUUCCUCUUCAGUUUAUUCCCGUUGAGCGUAACAAUGAACUUCUCAUUUAUCCUUUUCUUCUGCCUCAUCCUGGUUUUGGCUCUCGCCGUCCCAAGUGAUGCUGCCUUCGCAGAUGUUGUGAAGAAAAUUGGGACAGUCAUUGUGAAACUAAUUAACGGAGUCAAGUAUGGAUUUUCAAAUGUUUAAAACUGGUUUCUAGUGUAAAAACUCGAUCUUCCAAAUACGUUAUGAAAAUUACCCGGAUUACAUGUCAAAUGGGUUUUAAAUAAAACGAUUUGAUUUGUGGAACUUUAA